UACGUAGGGGGCGAGCGUUGUCCGGAAUCAUUGGGCGUAAAGAGCGUGUAGGCGGCCAGGUAGGUCUGCUGUGAAAACUCGAGGCUCAACCUCGAGACGUCGGCGGAAACCAUCUGGCUAGAGUCCGGAAGAGGAGAGUGGAAUUCCUGGUGUAGCGGUGAAAUGCGCAGAUAUCAGGAAGAACACCCGAGGCGAAGGCGGCUCUCUGGGACGGUACUGACGCUGAGACGCGAAAGCGUGGGGAGCGAACAGG
This 253-nucleotide ribosomal RNA is filed under the name uncultured bacterium. RNAcentral's name for it is "partial 16S ribosomal RNA". It matches the Rfam family "Bacterial small subunit ribosomal RNA", at positions 524 to 776 of the family's 1533-position model. The record is from RNAcentral.